RNAcentral lists this ribosomal RNA (253 nucleotides) under uncultured bacterium. RNAcentral's name for it is "partial 16S ribosomal RNA". It matches the Rfam family "Bacterial small subunit ribosomal RNA", at positions 524 to 776 of the family's 1533-position model. The record is from RNAcentral.
UACGGAGGGAGCUAGCGAUGUUCGGAAUUACUGGGCGUAAAGCGCGCGUAGGCGGCUAUCCAAGUCAGGGGUGAAAUCCCGGGGCUCAACCCCGGAACUGCCUCUGAAACUAGGUAGCUAGAAUACUGGAGAGGUGAGUGGAAUUCCGAGUGUAGAGGUGAAAUUCGUAGAUAUUCGGAAGAACACCAGUGGCGAAGGCGACUCACUGGACAGUUAUUGACGCUGAGGUGCGAAAGCGCGGGGAGCAAACAGG